GUGAAUCAUCGAAUCUUUGAACGCAAAUUGCACUCCCUGGUAUUCCGGGGAGUAUGCCUGUUUGAGGGUCGUUAGAAUAAAAAAUCGCUGCGUCGCGCUUUUUUUAAGGGCGUUCGCGUCGGAAUUGUGCCGUCUUUCAAAUGUUAAUUCUUAUCCAAGUGGCUUGAAAUUCAUCCAUCCGGUACGAAUGAAUCGUAUUUA
RNAcentral lists this unclassified non-coding RNA (201 nucleotides) under Glomeraceae sp. RNAcentral's name for it is "partial contains 5.8S ribosomal RNA and internal transcribed spacer 2". The stretch from base 1 to 71 matches the Rfam family "5.8S ribosomal RNA", at positions 84 to 154 of the family's 154-position model. The record is from RNAcentral. Lineage: Eukaryota; Fungi; Glomeromycota; Glomeromycetes; Glomerales; Glomeraceae.